Molecule: long non-coding RNA, 1152 nt
Filed under: Sinocyclocheilus anshuiensis
Lineage: Eukaryota; Metazoa; Chordata; Actinopteri; Cypriniformes; Cyprinidae
Description: lncRNA (ENSSANG00000000496.1)
Source: RNAcentral
UUCACACACACACACACACACUCACACUCUCACACACACACACACACUCUCUCUCUCUCUCUCUCUCUCUCUCACACACACACACAUCCUUUCCAUUGAAUUGUGCUGAUUUUCUGCUAAGCUUCAGAUGAUUUAGCAUGCGUGUUUUGCUCAUGAGGCCUGUCCUAUAUAUUUAUAGGAUUAUUCAGAGCUAUAAAUGUUGUGACUGACAGCUGUAUUUAAUAACAGGUGUGACAUAACUAGACUGACCAUAUUUAGCCCCAGGACUGAUGAGUGUGUGUGUGUGUGUUCUGCAGAGCUGCAGGAGCAGGUGGUGUAUUAUGACACCUGUGAGGACCCCGAGGAGCUGCAGGAUGUUCAGGUGGAUGUAAGUCCUGCCCACUCACACCUGCAGCAGCACCUGAAACAACUGGAGAGCAAAAGAGGAGCGAUUUCAUCACGCAGAGCUUACCUGAGGAACCAGCGGGAGCUGUGUGUUCAGGCUCAUGAGCAGCAGCAGCAUUCAGUCAUGCAAAGAUCGGAGCAGCUCCGCCAACACCACACCGCACAGCUGGUGAGUAACGUGCCGUAACAACGGCAACCUCAACCCACUGCAUCACCCCACAAAGCAUCCCAUAAUACCGUCGGAUCCGUGGGCUAUCUGUGGGCCGACUGAGUUGCCAUGACGACCGAGCCUUCAGUCCGGCAGGGGUCACGCUCACGUUCCCAGAAUUCCCUGCGCUGGAGUGACUGCAGAUCUGAGGCGCUGAUUAUGUUUGUGAUGUGAAUGUGGCACACGUGUGCUGUUAGUGAGCGUAUUCUCAGCCAACUCUGAGCAGUCACAAACACACGAGACGUCUGAGAUUCGUGAAAAAAUACUUCCAGCAGCAUGGUGUGGACGUACUGCUGUAUGUGUGUUUAAAGGGAUAGUUCACCCAAAAAUAAAAAUUCUGUCAUUAACUACUCACCCUCAUGUCGUUCAAAACCCGUAAGACUUUCGUUCUUAAGAUGUUAUUGAUGAAAUCCAAGCGCUAUCUGAGCCUGCAUAGACAGCAAGGGAACUACCACAGUCAAGGCACAGAAACGUAGUAAGGACAUCAGUAAAAUAGUCAUGUGACUUCAGGGAUUCAACCGUAAUCUUUUGAAGCUACGAGAAUACUUUUUGUUCGCAAC